This 23-nucleotide microRNA is filed under the name Alligator mississippiensis (American alligator). RNAcentral's name for it is "ami-miR-2984-3p". The record is from miRBase by way of RNAcentral. Lineage: Eukaryota; Metazoa; Chordata; Crocodylia; Alligatoridae.
AAUUUCACUCGCAGCAGGUUCUG